This 508-nucleotide ribosomal RNA is filed under the name uncultured bacterium. RNAcentral describes it as "partial 16S ribosomal RNA". It matches the Rfam family "Bacterial small subunit ribosomal RNA", at positions 30 to 523 of the family's 1533-position model. The record is from RNAcentral.
AUUGAACGCUGGCGGCAUGCCUUACACAUGCAAGUCGAACGGCAGCGGGGGAGAAGCUUGCUUUUCCUGCCGGCGAGUGGCGAACGGGUGAGUAAUACAUCGGAACGUGCCCUGUAGUGGGGGAUAACUAGUCGAAAGAUUAGCUAAUACCGCAUACGACCUGAGGGUGAAAGUGGGGGACCGCAAGGCCCCAUGCUAUAGGUGCGGCCGAUGUCGGAUUAGCUAGUUGGUGGGGUAAAGGCCUACCAAGGCGACGAUCAGUAGCUGGUCUGAGAGGACGAUCAGCCACACUGGGACUGAGACACGGCCCAGACUCCUACGGGAGGCAGCAGUGGGGAAUUUUGGACAAUGGGCGAAAGCCUGAUCCAGCAAUGCCGCGUGUGUGAAGAAGGCCUUCGGGUUGUAAAGCACUUUUGUCCGGAAAGAAAUGGCUCUGGUUAAUACCUGGGGUCGAUGACGGUACCGGAAGAAUAAGGACCGGCUAACUACGUGCCAGCCGCCGCAGUAA